This 968-nucleotide ribosomal RNA is filed under the name Trichouropoda sp. 7WK. Its description in RNAcentral is "eukaryotic LSU rRNA". It matches the Rfam family "Eukaryotic large subunit ribosomal RNA", at positions 395 to 1145 of the family's 3401-position model. Lineage: Eukaryota; Metazoa; Arthropoda; Arachnida; Mesostigmata; Trematuridae. The record is from RNAcentral.
GUACGUGAAACCGCUUAGAGCAAAACGAAUGGGCCCUUCGAUUCCGAUGGCGAAACAAUUCAGUCUUGAUGACAUAUAUGCCUGAUGGGUAUGUGUUGGCGUAAGCUUCACUGUCUGUUAUGGUUGCAUGUGUUGUCUAGGCGCAUUUUGUUUUGUCGGUAGGGCGUCGUAACCAAUAGAGUUUAUAAAAAUGCGUUUUGAGGGCUGGAAUGUUGGUAGCAUUGAAGUUUUCGGACUUUAGUGUAAUUAGCGUCCGGUCUGAAUGAAUCGCUACUCUAUUGGGGCAAUGUCUCGUACUUCUGCGCAAGAAAACCGGAAGGUCAGGCUGUAAGUUGUUGAUCUACUUUUAGUAGGCUGURAUUUAUAUGCUUGGCUGGUAGCUGGAUUUCUAUUGCUUUUGUACGUGGACGGUUAACGGCGAGUAGGUCGGUAACCCAUUCGACCCGUCUUGAAACACGGACCAAGGAGUGUAACAUGUACGCAAGUCAUUGAGUUCCUGUACCUCAAAGGCGAAAUGAAAUGUGAAGGUUAAUUUACAUUGACUGAGACGCGAUCCCGCACUCUAUGUAGUGUGGGCGCAGCGUCCACCCGUUCAACGUGUACUUGUACACAGAGCGGAGUGUGAGCGUACAUGUUGCGACCCGAAAGAUGGUGACCUAUGCCUGGGCAAGAUGAAGCCAGAGGAAACUCUGGUGGAGGUCUGAAGCGAUUCUGACGUGCAAAUCGAUCGUCUGACCUGGGUAUAGGGGCGAAAGACUCAUCGAACCAUCUAGUAGCUGGUUCCCUCCGAAGUUUCCCUCAGGAUAGCUAGAGCUCAAAUUACAGUAUCAUCCGGUAAAGCGAAUGAUUAGAGGCAUUGGGGACGAAACGUCCUCAACCUAUUCUCAAACUUUAAAUGGGUGAGAAGCUUGUCUUCUUAAUGAAGUCAGCCGUAUAUGAGAGUUCUUAGUGGGCCAUUUUUGGUAAGC